ACCACUAACCAGAGAGCACAUAGAUGAGACAACUAGUGUAAAGCGUUUUGCACACUUACCCAGUGGCGACGACCUGAAUGAGGUCUGUUGAAAUAAUGCAUUACAUACGACAAAAAAGUAAUGCAUUACCUAUGAACAUUUUUUUCAGCGCAUUUGUAAUGUACAAAAUAAAAAGUUCUACUCAUACGACAGAAUCGAGCUCUUGUCAACUUCGUUUCUGUAUGCCCCUUCCCCGCUGACCAAUAAACGAUUUUCGUCUUUCGUUGCGUCGCGACGAAAUCGCCGAAUUUCGUUUUGGACUUUACCGUUUUUUGCAUGGAAUGCGUGCCUUCUUUCGUUUGGUUUUUUUGUCUAUGCCUAUUCCUUUUGUGUGUAUAGUGUUAAUGAGUGUAAAUACAAGUUCAAAAAUGCAUAUGUGUGAUGAUUUCUGUUUUCGUUUUACCCGCCGCGGCGCGUCACUUUUCUGAUAUUGUUGAGCUGUGCGGACGUAAAUUUAAAGGGAAGUAUCUGAUGCUAUAAAAACCGAAGGGUCCACUAAGAGGACCUAUAUAAGUACAAUAAGAAACUGCUUUCGGGUCCAGAAAGGUCGACUGGAAAAGCAGAAGUUCGAUAAUAAGGACAAACUAGAUAAUAAGGCAUAGCUUUAGAUUUAGAUUUAGAUAGAUAAGACUAUACAUUUAUUUAUAGAUAUUUAGAAAUAAUAAAUAAUAAUUUUUAAAAAUUAAAACAAAAAAAUACUACAUUACUCAAGCGUUUCUAUCUUUCAAUUAGUAAUCAAUUAUUUCUCCAAUUACAUUGCAUUAAGAAGUAAGCCAUUUUAUAUAGUGGGAAAAUGGGUUGCAGGUAUAUUGUGUUGUAAUGUACGCACAUUACUAACCCAUAAGCGAUUUUGAAAAUGUAUAGGGCGUUUUCUUCAGGUUGCGGAAUUUCUACAUUACAAUAUUUAAAAAGUAUACGCAUGGGUAAUGGAGAGCCGAAGGAAACUUCGUCACCUCAUUACUUUCUGCAUUACAAAAUUCAAUAAUUUCAUGCACCCGGGAGAAAAAGCGGCCAUUCCUUAAAAAAGUAAGGCAGCUUGUAAUCGAUCUUUUCAUGCACACAGGCGACAAGUAAUCCAUGAGUAAUGGACAAAA
Molecule: long non-coding RNA, 1133 nt
Organism: Drosophila mojavensis
Lineage: Eukaryota; Metazoa; Arthropoda; Insecta; Diptera; Drosophilidae
Exons: 2
Source: RefSeq, a predicted model, not a curated record